UGCAAGUCGAGCGGUAGAGAGAAGCUUGCUUCUCUUGAGAGCGGCGGACGGGUGAGUAAUGCCUAGGAAUCUGCCUGGUAGUGGGGGAUAACGUUCGGAAACGGACGCUAAUACCGCAUACGUCCUACGGGAGAAAGCAGGGGACCUUCGGGCCUUGCGCUAUCAGAUGAGCCUAGGUCGGAUUAGCUAGUUGGUGAGGUAAUGGCUCACCAAGGCGACGAUCCGUAACUGGUCUGAGAGGAUGAUCAGUCACACUGGAACUGAGACACGGUCCAGACUCCUACGGGAGGCAGCAGUGGGGAAUAUUGGACAAUGGGCGAAAGCCUGAUCCAGCCAUGCCGCGUGUGUGAAGAAGGUCUUCGGAUUGUAAAGCACUUUAAGUUGGGAGGAAGGGCAGUUGCCUAAUACGUAACUGUUUUGACGUUACCGACAGAAUAAGCACCGGCUAACUCUGUGCCAGCAGCCGCGGUAAUACAGAGGGUGCAAGCGUUAAUCGGAAUUACUGGGCGUAAAGCGCGCGUAGGUGGUUUGUUAAGUUGGAUGUGAAAUCCCCGGGCUCAACCUGGGAACUGCAUUCAAAACUGACUGACUAGAGUAUGGUAGAGGGUGGUGGAAUUUCCUGUGUAGCGGUGAAAUGCGUAGAUAUAGGAAGGAACACCAGUGGCGAAGGCGACCACCUGGACUAAUACUGACACUGAGGUGCGAAAGCGUGGGGAGCAAACAGGAUUAGAUACCCUGGUAGUCCACGCCGUAAACGAUGUCAACUAGCCGUUGGAAGCCUUGAGCUUUUAGUGGCGCAGCUAACGCAUUAAGU
RNAcentral lists this ribosomal RNA (814 nucleotides) under uncultured bacterium. RNAcentral's name for it is "bacterial SSU rRNA". It matches the Rfam family "Bacterial small subunit ribosomal RNA", at positions 56 to 865 of the family's 1533-position model. The record is from RNAcentral.